This 1067-nucleotide long non-coding RNA is filed under the name Cairina moschata (Muscovy duck). RNAcentral's name for it is "domestica (muscovy Duck (domestic type)) lncRNA (ENSCMMG00000000084.1)". The record is from RNAcentral. Lineage: Eukaryota; Metazoa; Chordata; Aves; Anseriformes; Anatidae.
AUGCCUGGGCAUGUUAGCUGUUUGUCUCAUGAGUAUCUCAUUCAGAAGUUUUCAUCAGAAUUUAUUUUUACUAAAAACGUAAUUUUAAAAAUGGUACCAGAACUUGCAUGUUUUGCAAAGGAAAUAAUGCUGCUACAUGACUUGACAUUUUACUCUUGUUUAUGCAUUCUUACAGGCUCUAAAGGCUCAGGUCAAAGGAAUGGAAACAAUGUCCUCAAGGGCUUCAGAAAUACAGUCUGUCAGAAAAUACCUGAAGGCUCUCAUGAAAAAAGUCAGUACUGCCCUGGAAAAAAGCAAAGAAUUGAAGGACAAAUUGGAGAUAGCGCUAUGGAUAAGCCAGACGUCAGAGGAUAAAACAGACCAGAUGUAUGGCCUUGGAGUGAAGGACACUAUUAGGUUGUGCCUGCAGACUCCCUCAUUUCCUAGACGUAUAGUGAGGAGCUGGCUGGUGAGACCCUGUAAUGCAGCUCCCACCACAGCAGAACAGACUGGAAGGCUGCAGGUGAGCUAACUGACAAGCUAUGAAAAUCUGAAAAGUGCUUUGAGUUGAGUGAGACCCUGGCUGGGCAGGACUGUGAGCUGGCUGUGUAGGACCUUGUAGGAUCAUGCUAUUUACUUGUUUUAGUGAGGUGAGUGGGUGAGGUGACAGCAAAGUUGGCCUGUAAAAUACUGAAGUAUAUUUUCUGAACUGCUGAGGGAGUACAGCAUAUUUAUUCUGCUCCUUAUAUGCUGUUAUCAAUUUCUCAUGCUGGUGUGGGAUACAGGAAUUUUCUCCUUGUCUAUGUUCUCAUUGUAUAGAGAGAUUGACCAUAUUUUUACAUGAAGUGCUAAAGGGCCUUGUUUGGGAUGACAGUAAAAGAUGAGUGGCCUAGCUCAUGUGCCAGUGUUCAGACAUUUGCAGGUGGAAAUUAAUUUUGGUACAGUGGGUGCAAGCAUCAGCUGAGCUAGGGUAAUGUCAUGGGUGCUCCUGUCCUGUACCGUUUGGCUUGGUUAACUCAAGCUUGUUAUUGGGUAUGCUUACUGAAAGCGCUAUGGAUGCAGCCUUAGAUGUCAGGUAACUUCCACUU